Molecule: microRNA precursor, 61 nt
Filed under: Pristionchus pacificus
Lineage: Eukaryota; Metazoa; Nematoda; Chromadorea; Rhabditida; Neodiplogasteridae
Description: mir-8364 microRNA precursor family
Rfam family: mir-8364 microRNA precursor family
Source: Rfam by way of RNAcentral
UCUCCAUUUCGCUUACUUUCUCACCGGACAGAGCUGCGAGAGAGUAGGCGAAAUGAAGAGA